Molecule: ribosomal RNA, 259 nt
Filed under: uncultured bacterium
Lineage: Bacteria
Description: partial 16S ribosomal RNA
Rfam family: Bacterial small subunit ribosomal RNA
Source: RNAcentral
UACGGGGGGGGGCAAGCGUUGUUCGGAAUUACUGGGCGUAAAGGGCUCGUAGGCGGCCAACUAAGUCAGACGUGAAAUCCCCUCGGCUUAACCGGGGGAACUGCGUCUGAUACUGGAUGGCUUGGGAUUGGGGAGAGGGAUGCGGAAUUCCAGGUGUAGCGGUGAAAUGCGUAGAUAUCUGGAGGAACACCGGUGGCGAAGGCGGCAUCCUGGACCAACACUGACGCUGAGGGAGCGAAAGCCAGGGGAGCAAACGGGG